GUGCUCGCUCCGGCAGCACGUGCACUAAAAUGGGAAGGAUACAGAGAUUAGCACGGCCCCGCGCAAGGAUGACACGCAAAUUCGUGAAGCGUUCCAUAAUUAA
This is a small nuclear RNA of Eptesicus fuscus (big brown bat), 103 nucleotides long. NCBI's taxonomy places the organism in Eukaryota, Metazoa, Chordata, Mammalia, Chiroptera, Vespertilionidae. The record is from RefSeq and is a predicted model, not a curated record.